CAAAUGACAAAUGUGGAAAGAUUGCAUUGUCGGUGGAACGUCGACCACAGAUUGUAACUUUAACUUCACGGCGGUGCACAAGAAGGAAGAGGGCAACCAGGCGUAUGUGUGUGGGACCAACGGCAGGGAGACUUUGUGCGGUGAAGUUAUUCUAUCAGAUCCUUCUCCCGUGUGCCGUACCUCUGAAAAAAUGAGGAGCAUACAAGGAAGUAUCAGAAAAUUCAUCAUGAAGGAAGGUGAACCGUCUGUUUUUGUGGGUGGGUUUUGACGGAUUACUUUAUUUCCUGCAUGUGUGUCUUUGCUUCCUGAUUAGCUGGUUUGUCGUCAGGGGGUACUUUUCCUUUCCUUUACAUAUUUGCUGAACAUUUACGCUCUUUUAAACGUUAGAGUCAGUAGAAAUGUUUGUUUUCUUGUAAACACAACAUUUAAACUGGGCCCCUCCUCCUGGGC
Molecule: long non-coding RNA, 450 nt
Organism: Labrus mixtus (cuckoo wrasse)
Lineage: Eukaryota; Metazoa; Chordata; Actinopteri; Labriformes; Labridae
Exons: 3
Source: RefSeq, a predicted model, not a curated record